CAAACAUAACCUCCAUAUUUUAUUCUUCCUUCAGUUGUUUGAAAUUACACGAGAGCUCUGGCUCUCUGCAUCAAAAUUGCAGACUAGCUAAUAUGUUACAGGCAAAUAUGCUACAAUAAGGGCGUGUUCAAACUAGCAGAAUUGGAAAUUUUUUUUCCCCAGGAAAUGACUAAAUAAGAUGCCCAACCAAGACUAAACAAGUUGGGAAGACUUAAAUUUCAGGAUUGAACUUCUCCUCAUCUGUCACCUCUUUUUUCUUGGUAGCACCAUCUUUACUAAUGACAAUGCCAACCAGCUUACACGGUUCAGCUUCUCCAAGCAUUUGAACUACACUUCUCAUGGUGGGUCUUAGUGAUGGAAGCCGCUCAGUGCAGAGAAUUGCAAUUCUCAAUACCUUGACAACAUCUUCCUUGAAAAAUUCUGGAAUUCUGGAGUCUACUAUGCUUAACACUCUCUCUUUACUCUUCAAGUUGCUGGAGACCCAAUCUACUAUGUCUUUGUUGUCUCCAAACUCUGGCUCUAUUGGCCUCUUUCCACUCACCAACUCCAUUAGUACCACUCCAAAGCUGUAAACAUCACUCUUCUCACUGACUUUGUAUGUGUAUCCAUAUUCUGCACAAUUAAACGUAAUAAAUUAACAAACAAAACCCAUAAUUGAUCUUCUCAUAAAGAAGAAAAUAGAUAUCAGAAACAUAAUUUGAUUACCUGGAGCUAUAUAACCAUGGGUACCAGCAAUGACAUGGGUGGAGUCUUUGCCUCCAUUGGCUUGAACAAUCUUGGCCAGCCCAAAAUCAGCUAUCCUAGGCUUCAAAAACUCAUCCAACAAAAUAUUACUGGACUUCACAUCUCUGUGAAUUAUGGGUCUGUCGCAUCCAUGAUGCAGAUACUCCAGUCCCUUAGCUGCUCCCAAAGCGAUCUCAUACCUCGUCUCCCAUUCAAGCUCCAUCUUCGUUGAAGUAUGCAGACGAUCCCAUAAGCUACCAUUAGGCAUAUACUCGUAAACCAACAGGCUAGAAUCCUCACUGGUAAUACUACAAUACAGCUUCACCACAUUGACAUGCCUUGUUGAGCUCAAGGUAUGCACCUCAGCAUCAAAUUCUUUAGAUUUUCCUCCCCGUCUAGCAAGCAUCGGUGUCGUGCUCCAGCUCUUUUUCCGGCCACAGGAAUCUGUAUUCAAAAUAUGUUUCACAGCAAGUUCUUUACCAUUUGCAAGUGCUACUUUGUACACGUUUCCAGAACCUCCUUUUCCUAUUAAAUUCUCUUCCUUUAUGGAAUCUAGAAUCUCAUCCUCACCGAAGCCUAACACAUGGAAGGACUUUACGUCCCAAGAUUCUUCCUUCAAUGAGCGUUCAUGAUCCUUUUCUUUCUUCUUUAAGUACAAGAAGUAUACAAGUGAGAGAACCAAUAUUGCAGCACCUACACCAAAGCAAGCAAUAAGCGUACGGACAUCUUUGGACAUCCCGGCUUCAGGCUUGCAUAGCUGAAAAGUGCUCACUGUUUGGCUGCAGAGGCCAGAAUUUCCGGCGAAACUUCCGUUGUAUGCUUCAAUUGACAGAGAUUGAGGUAUGCGACCAGUUAACCUAUUGUGGGUUAGAUCAAGGAGGCUUAGACUCAAAGACGACAAGGUGUCUGGAAUUUGACCUGAAAGUUGAUUCUCAGAUAAAUUCAGAGAAUUUAGAGUCGGUAGAGAUCCUAUGGAUGAUGGGAUUUCACCGGAAAGCAAAUUAUGAGCUAUGUUUAGAUCGCUGAGAGAAUCACAAGAGCCUAGAGACUCUGGAAUCGAACCAGAGAACAUAUUGUUCUCCAAAUGAAGGCUGCUUAGGUGCUUAAGUUCUCCAAUUGUCUCCGGUAUCUUGCCUGAAAAUUGAUUGUCGUUUAACUUUAUCGAAACCAACGACGUAGCUCCCGAAAUCUCCCCUGGCAAUUCACCGGAUAAUCGGUUGUAUCCCAGAAACAACUGUCCAAGAGCCUUGGCGUUCCUAAUAUCAGAAGUCACUGGACCUUCAAAUUGAUUAAACUCGAUAUCGAUUAUGUUCAUAAUGGGCAAUCCCCAAAUUCCAGCAGGAACAGUGCCCGAAAGCGAGUUUUUACUGACUCUGAAUCUCUUCAACGUAGUACAACUCCCAUAGCUGGCCGGAAUUUCCCCGGUAAAAUUAUUUUGGAGCAUGAGAAGCGCUUCCAUGGUCCCCUGCUUGCACAUAUCUGGUGGAAUCGGACCUGUCAAGUAAUUCUCUGAGACAUCGAUGAAAAUAAAAUUGGCCCAAGAACCAAGCUGAGGAGGAAGAGGACCGGUUAACUUGUUCCCGUACAGAGAAAGAUUUACGAGUUUCUUGAACUGGCCAAACUCCAUUGGUAUUUCACCAGAAAGCUCGUUCUCGAAUAGCUGCAGAGUUACCAGGUUUGUCAAGAAUCUCAAUUCAGAUAAACCACCUUCAAGAUAGUUCAUGGACGCAUCGAAUUUCUCCAGUUUUGUAAGGUUUCCAAUUUCAACUGGUAAUUUUCCGGUCAAGCUGUUUUUGUAGAGCUCCAGCUGCCAGAGGUUCUUGAGCAAUCCUAUCUGGGAAGGAAUCUCUCCGGACAUAUUAUUAUUGGAAAGUUCCAAGUUUAUGAGCUCGGAAAGAUUUCCAAUAUCUUGUGGAAUCGUGCCACCGAUGCUGCAAUUCGAUAAGUAAAGCCAAUUCAGUUUGGUUAGCUUAACAAUCUCCAAUGGAAAUGGAGUUGGAUAGAAGGGAUUGUCUCCUAAACUCAGCGUAACAAGACCCGUGAUAUUUUCCAGUGACUUCCAUGGAAAGACACCCGACAACCCAGUUAGGUUCAAGAACAAGUGCUGUAAUUGACUCAAAGAAGAAAAUUCAGGAAAAUGACCACUAAAAAGAUUAUUUCCAAGGUCUAGAUAUCGCAAAUUUGUGCACUUAUUCAAGUCAUCACUGAUACUACCCGACAAGGAAUUGAAACCAAGCGAGAGCUUUUCUAAGGAUGGGAGCUUGCAUAUUGAAUCAAGAGGAACAACUCCAACUAAGUUCUGAUAUGAGAGUUCAAUUUCAGUGACAGAAUUGCCUGAAUUGCAUGUGAUUCCAGCAAAGUUACAGAUGGAAUUACUUGAAACCCAUGAAUUGAAAACAUUAGUAUUCGACUUUUGAAAUGCAGUUUUGACGUUGAGGAGAACUUGAAGCUCGUCGGAUUGCGAAUUGAGGGAAGAGAAGAAGCAGAGAAAACAGAGGAGGAGAGAAAAAGAGGCCGUUGACAUGUCGGGCGGUGAAGAGGAAAGAAAGUAAUUUUAGUUAAGGUGUUUUAAUCAGAGAAGAAGAAGAAUGGAAGAAAGAGAGCGAUGCAACGCCAAUUUUAACCAAGGCGGCGGGGUGGCUUUCACAUUUGAUAUGCUACUGUGAUUGCUUACGGUGGCUAUUCCAUUGGCUAUUUCCCUUCUGUUGUAACGGUAAUUAGAUUACAGGUUUGUUUCUCAGUUAUAUCCUUGAAAUGAAGCAGUGUUUUAUAGUACUCUCGCGCACGUGUGUUUGCAACUUGCAAGUCGGAGGCAAUUUAGCUGCAAUUAUAAAAGAUAUUAAAGAUGGCACUUAGGGUAGCUGAUAGGGUAGGCUCAAAACAUU
This 3608-nucleotide unclassified non-coding RNA is filed under the name Hevea brasiliensis (rubber tree). The record is from RNAcentral. Lineage: Eukaryota; Viridiplantae; Streptophyta; Magnoliopsida; Malpighiales; Euphorbiaceae.